Molecule: ribosomal RNA, 853 nt
Filed under: Suillus grevillei
Lineage: Eukaryota; Fungi; Basidiomycota; Agaricomycetes; Boletales; Suillaceae
Description: eukaryotic LSU rRNA
Rfam family: Eukaryotic large subunit ribosomal RNA
Source: RNAcentral
AACUAACAAGGAUUCCCCUAGUAACUGCGAGUGAACCGGGAAAAGCUCAAAUUUUGAAUCUGGCGGUCUUUAUGGCCGUCCGAGUUGUAAUCUAGAGAAGCGUCUUCCGCGCUGGACCGUGUAYAAGUUUCCUGGAAUGGAACGUCGUAGAGGGUGAGAAUCCCGUCUUUGACACGGACUGCCAGGGCUAUGUGAUGCGCUCUCGACGAGUCGAGUUGUUUGGGAAUGCAGCUCAAAUAGGGUGGUAAAUUCCAUCUAAAGCUAAAUAUAGGCGAGAGACCGAUAGCGAACAAGUACCGUGAGGGAAAGAUGAAAAGAACUUUGGAAAGAGAGUUAAACAGUACGUGAAAUUGCUGAAAGGGAAACGCUUGAUGUCAGUCGCGUUCGUCGGGGAUCAGCCUUGCUCUUUUGCUCGGUGUACUUCCUGGCGAACGGGUCAGCAUCAGUUUUGUUCGUCGGAAAAUGGCUCGAGAAAUGUGGCACUCUUCGGGGUGUGUUAUAGACUCGGGUCGAAUACGACGUUCGGGACUGAGGAACUCAGCGCGACCUUCGGGUUCGGGGCUUAGGCCCACGUUAACGUGCUUAGGAUGCUGGCAUAAUGGCCUUAAGCGACCCGUCUUGAAACACGGACCAAGGAGUCUAACUCGCAUGCGAGUGUUUGGGCGAUUAAAACCCGAGCGCGUAAUGAAAGUGAAAGUCGAGACCCCUGUCGUGGGGGGCAUCGACGCCCGGACCAGAGCUUCUGCGACGGAUCUGCGGUAGAGCAUGCGUGUUGGGACCCGAAAGAUGGUGAACUAUGCCUGAAUAGGGUGAAGCCAGAGGAAACUCUGGUGGAGGCUCGUAGCGAUUCUGA